AGUGUUCACAAAGGCUUCGACGAGGACGUCGAAGGGAUAAGUGGGGGAGAAUGUCACAGACAAACUUCUCAACAAGACGUUGGAUGUAAUGCUUAUGUGUGUCCGUGUCUUUUGGCAUGUUCAUGCCCUGUACAGAAUGUAAAAGGGCGGCCGAAGGCUUAUAAGUCCCAUUUUAGUUGGGUUGGUGGCCUCUUUAGGCUUGUAAAUAAAAGUUGUGUCAUGUGGACACGUGAGAGAGCUUUUCGGUCUGUAAUGGACCAUUUUACCCUUUGUUGUGCCACUGUUCAGAGCUUGUAAAGUCUGUUUGUAAUUUGCAUUGUCUAUGAAGUGUUUUUCGG
RNAcentral lists this long non-coding RNA (338 nucleotides) under Musa acuminata (dwarf banana). RNAcentral's name for it is "long non-coding RNA (MACU_LNC007152)". Lineage: Eukaryota; Viridiplantae; Streptophyta; Magnoliopsida; Zingiberales; Musaceae. The record is from RNAcentral.